RNAcentral lists this ribosomal RNA (399 nucleotides) under uncultured bacterium. RNAcentral describes it as "bacterial SSU rRNA". It matches the Rfam family "Bacterial small subunit ribosomal RNA", at positions 64 to 507 of the family's 1533-position model. The record is from RNAcentral.
GAACGCCCGUAGCAAUACGGGAGUGGCAGACGGGAGAGUAACACGUGGGAACGUGCCCUUCAGUUCGGAACAACCCAGGGAAACUUGGGCUAAUACCGGAUACGUCCGUAAGGAGAAAGAUUUAUCGCUGAAGGAUCGGCCCGCGUCUGAUUAGCUAGUUGGUGAGGUAAUGGCUCACCAAGGCGACGAUCAGUAGCUGGUCUGAGAGGAUGAUCAGCCUCACUGGGACUGAGACACGGCCCAGACUCCUACGGGAGGCAGCAGUGGGGAAUCUUGGACAAUGGGCGCAAGCCUGAUCCAGCCAUGCCGCGUGGGUGAUGAAGGCCCUAGGGUUGUAAAGCCCUUUCGGCGGGGAAGAUAAUGACGGUACCCGCAGAAGAAGCCCCGGCUAACUUCGUG